UACGUAGGGGGCAAGCGUUGUCCGGAUUUAUUGGGCGUAAAGAGCUCGUAGGUGGUUCGGUAAGUCGGAUGUGAAAUCUCCAGGCUCAACCUGGAGGGGUCAUUCGAUACUGCCGUGACUAGAGGUCGGUAGGGGAGUGUGGAAUUCCUGGUGGAGCGGUGAAAUGCGUAGAUAUCUGGAGGAACACCGGUGGCGAAGGCGACGUCCUGGACCGGCAUUGACGCUGAGGCGCGAAAGCCAGGGGAGCAAACGGG
RNAcentral lists this ribosomal RNA (254 nucleotides) under uncultured bacterium. Its description in RNAcentral is "partial 16S ribosomal RNA". It matches the Rfam family "Bacterial small subunit ribosomal RNA", at positions 524 to 776 of the family's 1533-position model. The record is from RNAcentral.